GGAGUUCAAGAUCAAAGAAAAAGAUGGAUCUUCUUUCUUGCACAGCCUUGAAGAAGGAGUUCUUCUUUCAGAUUUUUUUUAAUUUUUUAAAAUAAAAAUUAGAUUAGAUAUAAUUUUUUAUAUAAAAAUUUAGAAAAAAAAUAUCAAAAAAAUUUGAUUGGAUAUUUGGGGCUUCUUAGAGUUCUAGAUCAAGAAGAAAAAGGGAGAAG
Molecule: long non-coding RNA, 209 nt
Filed under: Elaeis guineensis (African oil palm)
Lineage: Eukaryota; Viridiplantae; Streptophyta; Magnoliopsida; Arecales; Arecaceae
Description: long non-coding RNA (EGUI_LNC063451)
Source: RNAcentral